UACGUAGGUGGCAAGCGUUAUCCGGAUUUACUGGGUGUAAAGGGCGAGUAGGCGGGAUUGCAAGUCAGAAGUGAAAUCCAUGGGCUUAACCCGUGAACUGCUUUUGAAACUGCAGGACUUGAGUGGAGUAGAGGUAGGCGGAAUUCCCGGUGUAGCGGUGAAAUGCGUAGAGAUCGGGAGGAACACCAGUGGCGAAGGCGGCCUACUGGGCUUUAACUGACGCUGAAGCACGAAAGCGUGGGUAGCAAACAGG
RNAcentral lists this ribosomal RNA (253 nucleotides) under uncultured Ruminococcus sp. Its description in RNAcentral is "partial 16S ribosomal RNA". It matches the Rfam family "Bacterial small subunit ribosomal RNA", at positions 524 to 776 of the family's 1533-position model. The record is from RNAcentral. Lineage: Bacteria; Bacillati; Bacillota; Clostridia; Eubacteriales; Oscillospiraceae.